GACGAACGCUGGCGGCGUGCCUAAUACAUGCAAGUCGAACGCUGAAGGAGGAGCUUGCUUCUCUGGAUGAGUUGCGAACGGGUGAGUAACGCGUAGGUAACCUGCCUGGUAGCGGGGGAUGACUAUUGGAAACGAUAGCUAAUACCGCAUAAUAGUAGAUGUUGCAUGACAUUUGCUUAAAAGGUGCAAUUGCAUCACUACCAGAUGGACCUGCGUUGUAUUAGGCAGUUGGUGGGGUAACGGCUCACCAAGGCGACGAUACAUAGCCGACCUGGGAGGGGGAUCGGCCACACUGGGACUGGGAAACGGCCCAGAAUCCUACGGGAGGCAGCAGUAGGGAAUCUUCGGCAAUGGACGGAAGUCUGACCGAGCAACGCCGCGUGAGUGAAGAAGGUUUUCGGAUCGUAAAGCUCUGUUGUAAGAGAAGAACGAGUGUGAGAGUGGAAAGUUCACACUGUGACGGUAUCUAACCAGAAAGAGACGGCUAACUACGUG
RNAcentral lists this ribosomal RNA (495 nucleotides) under uncultured bacterium. RNAcentral describes it as "partial 16S ribosomal RNA". It matches the Rfam family "Bacterial small subunit ribosomal RNA", at positions 28 to 507 of the family's 1533-position model. The record is from RNAcentral.